UACGUAGGGUGCAAGCGUUGCCCGGAAUUAUUGGGCGUAAAGAGCUUGUAGGCGGUUUGUCGCGUCUGCUGUGAAAUUUCGGGGCUCAACCCCGAACUUGCAGUGGGUACGGGCAGACUAGAGUGUGGUAGGGGAGACUGGAAUUCCUGGUGUAGCGGUGAAAUGCGCAGAUAUCAGGAGGAACACCGAUGGCGAAGGCAGGUCUCUGGGCAUUAACUGACGCUGAGGAGCGAAAGCAUGGGGAGCGAACAGG
This 253-nucleotide ribosomal RNA is filed under the name uncultured bacterium. RNAcentral describes it as "partial 16S ribosomal RNA". It matches the Rfam family "Bacterial small subunit ribosomal RNA", at positions 524 to 776 of the family's 1533-position model. The record is from RNAcentral.